Pyrus x bretschneideri (Chinese white pear) is the source of this 1125-nucleotide RNA transcript. RefSeq lists it as uncharacterized. The transcript has 3 exons. The record is from RefSeq and is a predicted model, not a curated record. Lineage: Eukaryota; Viridiplantae; Streptophyta; Magnoliopsida; Rosales; Rosaceae.
AAAAGCAGGAAGCAAGUGGAGUACCAAAAAUGUCCCCAGACUGAAAGCCCAACGCUCCUCGCGGCCGACGUCGUGGGUAGGUGUGACGCUGGAUAAAUAGGAGAUUAUAAUGUCUUGCACUUGCAGAGAGAGAUGCCAUUUCUUCAGUUCCAGUGAGGACUGAAGUGCUUUUUCAAUGUGGCAAUUAUUUGCCGCAGCUGUUGCGGCCUCCACCGGACUCCUCGCCGGAAAACACAUCUUCUUCAAGCCCACCGCCGUUCCCGAUCACAAUUCGGAGCCUCCCCAUCCAGACCCCAAUAACCCCUCCUCCGCCUCGCCAUUUCAGUCUCAGCCGCCUCCGUGGGAGAUCAACGACUUCGAGGAGCAGCGAGAAGGGACCAUCUUUAGGUUUUCGAGCGAGGCGGCGUCGGGUCAGGGCAGGAGUGGGACCCAGUUUUUGAUGAGGAUGAAAACCGGUUCAACCGGGUCGAAGAAGAAGAAAGGGGUUGAUGCUGAGGCUGAGAGAUCUAAUGGUGUGGAACAGAGGAGGACUGCUAGGAGAGGGGUUGGUGUUUGCUUGAAGAGGAGGAAGACUGGGAAGAAUGUAGCUGCUGCCAAAUGUGGAUCGUCUUCUUCCAAAGAUUCGACGUUUUUUAGUUGGGGGCUUAAUGUUGGGAUCAUGUACGUGAUGUCUGCUGGAAAAGUCCAAUUUUACUGUAUCUGAGGAUGCGGAAUGUGCUAGUAGUGUCCUUACGGAGGAGCAGGACCCACAUUCCGAAGUAAUGGACAUGGAUUAAUUAGAAGCAGAACUUGAGUCUGAAUUGCAAAGACUUACAUGGUGCGCUACAAAUACUCCUCGCCAUGAGGGAUUGAGUAAUCUGAGUCAGGACAUUGUCUCUGAAGUUACAGCUCAAGGGUUUCAUGACCUAGAGGGACAGUGUUUCAUUACUCAGGAGUUCCAUGGAGUAUUGCCAGCUCAACUAGAUCAGAAACUAUGCCAUGUGCUCAUCGAACAGCAGGAAAGCCAAAUUGUGGAGCUGGAAUCUGAACUGCAUUCAGCCCAAUCAAAACUCCAACACAAAGAAACUGAACUGGAAACAUUGAAGGACUGUGUUAGACGCUUAACCGAGUUAUCGGUUGGAAAUG